GACGAACGCUGGCGGCGUGCUUAACACAUGCAAGUCGAACGAAGUGGCGAACGGGUGAGUAACGCGUAAUCAACCUGCACUUCAGUGGGGGACAACAGUUGGAAACGACUGCUAAUACCGCAUACUGAAGGAGGGGAUUGCGUCUGAUGAGCAAGUUGGAGGGGUAACGGCCCACGAAGGGGAUGAUCAGUAGCCGGUCUGAGAGGAGGAACGGCCCCAGUGGGACAGAGUCACGGCCCAGACUCCUACGGUGGGCAGCAGUGGGGAAUCUUCCGCAAUGGACGAAAGUCUGACGGAGCAACGCCGCGUGGGUGAUGACGGCCUUCGGGUUGUAAAGCUCUGUUAAUCGGGACGCGGUACCUGAAUAGAAAGCCACGGCUAACUACGUGCCAGCAGCCGCGGUAAUUC
This 408-nucleotide ribosomal RNA is filed under the name uncultured bacterium. RNAcentral's name for it is "partial 16S ribosomal RNA". It matches the Rfam family "Bacterial small subunit ribosomal RNA", at positions 28 to 526 of the family's 1533-position model. The record is from RNAcentral.